GGCUAGACCAUUGUUCUGCCUUCUGCCGUAGGUCAGGUGGAUGUUUCAGCUCACAGACGGAUGGCCUGACACAGAGCAGAAUUCAACGUCCCUUCUAUUAAGGCAAGUCAUCCAGUUCCUGAGGCAGCAAAGCAUCCUCAAAUCAUAACACUACCACCACCACGCUUGACCGUUGGUCUGAGGUUCUUACUUUGGAAUGGAGUGUUUGGUUUUCGGCAGACAUAAUGGGACCCAUCUCAUCCAAUAUUAGUUUUGCAUUCCGUAUACAAAACUUGAGAAAAUUAGAAGGGGGGAAAAUACUAUUUUAACAGCACUGUGUAUCAUGAUAAUACAUUAUUAUAAGCAGAGGUGUAAUGCGCCCCAAAAAUCUAAGGGGGUACAAAGUAUUGAAGGAUGGCUGGUAGUUGUAGAACUUAGCAUUUUUUAAACACCUAACAUAGCUUUUUCCUGCAAUCUAGAGUCAUAAUCAUUGUUACAGAUACAGGUAUCAUGUGUGUAUGUAUCCUGUGUACUUUUCUCGCCUUCUCCCCUCACAGGUGAAAAUCAUCACUCCCCAAUCAGUCACCAAUCAAUCAUCAAUCAGAAGACACACCUCCUCCUGUUUCCUACCCAAUCACAGUUCCUUUCCCUUGGUUUAAAAACCCUGUCAGUUGUUUGCUCUGGAGCUCAAUCUCUCUGUAAAUGCCAUAUGUCUGUAGAUCGCUAGGGUUCACUCGCGCCUACGAUGGCUAUCUCUCUUUAUGUAUUGAGCUCUCUUUUGUUUGAGCAUCUCCAUAUCACUUUGUCCUCACCUGUGAGUAUUGCUUUUUUUGUUAUGGUGUUUUUUUGCUGGUGGGAAAAGGGGGAACCAAGACAAGUCGCCCAUGGGCAUACACUACCUGUAGGUAAACUUUGUCAAAAACACUAGUUAGAACUGGGCGGACCACCCACUGUAUUUUUGGUUAGUUAGCUAGCUGUUGAAAUAGGCUAGUCUAGCUUAGGGGUGUUUUUUGAAUACUUAUUAUUUCUUUCCUUGGGUCCAGCUCAGCCCCUUUUCCUGCUCCCCCCAUUACCGUGUGUUUUCUAAAAAACCAUGUGUUUGACGGUAAUUUAGUUGUCUGUGGUUGUCGUUCUCACUUUUUCACUUAUAAUUUGCAUGAGUUAUGUUACGGGUCUUGUUACAUCUCCCCUAGACUGUCGGGCCAAAAGGGAUUCGUAACGAUCAUUAUACUUAAUUUCAUAUUAAAUGUGUCACGACUUCCGCCGAAGUCGGUUCCUCGCCUUGUUUGGGUGGCGGUAGUCACCGGUCUUCUAGCCAUCACCGAUCCACCUUUCAUUUCCAUUUGUUUUGUCUUUUCCCACACACCUGUUUUACAUUUCCCUCAUUACUUGUGUAUUUAACCCUCUGUUCCCCCCAUGUCUGGGUGAAAUUGUUUGUAAGUGCUUGUGCACAUUUUAACUGGUGGCGACGGGUUUUGUACCCAUAUUUUGUAUUUCUGGAUGCCG
Long non-coding RNA from Oncorhynchus tshawytscha (Chinook salmon), 1485 nucleotides. Lineage: Eukaryota; Metazoa; Chordata; Actinopteri; Salmoniformes; Salmonidae. The record is from Ensembl.